CUCCACUUUAACCACCCCGCUCCUAUACGAUGAGUGACGUCCCCAUCAAUCUCUCCGUUCCCCUAAAUCACCGACCCAGGAUAUCUGACACUGUCCCUCUUGGCAAUGACUUGAGAUCCAAUCAUCAUGUCCCUGCGUACUUUGCUCGGCUCGGCGUUAAACUUGCACUCUAGGUAUUCUGUCUUAGAUCUGCUUAUUUUGAAACCCUUAGAC
Molecule: long non-coding RNA, 213 nt
Filed under: Nicotiana benthamiana
Lineage: Eukaryota; Viridiplantae; Streptophyta; Magnoliopsida; Solanales; Solanaceae
Description: long non-coding RNA (NBEN_LNC000540)
Source: RNAcentral